RNAcentral lists this ribosomal RNA (458 nucleotides) under uncultured bacterium. Its description in RNAcentral is "bacterial SSU rRNA". It matches the Rfam family "Bacterial small subunit ribosomal RNA", at positions 30 to 469 of the family's 1533-position model. The record is from RNAcentral.
AUUGAACGCUGGCGGCAGGCCUAACACAUGCAAGUCGAGCGGAAACGACAACAUUGACCCUUCGGGUGAUUUGUUGGGCGUCGAGCGGCGGACGGGUGAGUAAUGCCUGGGAAAUUGCCCUGAUGUGGGGGAUAACCAUUGGAAACGAUGGCUAAUACCGCAUAAUGUCUACGGACCAAAGAGGGGGACCUUCGGGCCUCUCGCUUCAGGAUAUGCCCAGGUGGGAUUAGCUAGUUGGUGAGGUAAUGGCUCACCAAGGCGACGAUCCCUAGCUGGUCUGAGAGGAUGAUCAGCCACACUGGAACUGAGACACGGUCCAGACUCCUACGGGAGGCAGCAGUGGGGAAUAUUGCACAAUGGGCGCAAGCCUGAUGCAGCCAUGCCGCGUGUGUGAAGAAGGCCUUCGGGUUGUAAAGCACUUUCAGCAGUGAGGAAGGCGGGUACGUUAAGUAGCGUGC